GAUGAACGCUGGCGGCGUGCUUAACACAUGCAAGUCGAACGAUUAAACUGGCUUCGGCCAGAUAUAGAGUGGCGAACGGGUGAGUAACACGUGACCAACCUGCCCCGCGCUCCGGGACAACCGCUGGAAACGGCGGCUAAUACCGGAUGCUCCGGGGAGGCCCCAUGGCCUCCCCGGGAAAGCCUUAACGGCGCGGGAUGGGGUCGCGGCCCAUUAGGUAGACGGCGGGGUAACGGCCCACCGUGCCCGCGAUGGGUAGCCGGACUGAGAGGUCGACCGGCCACAUUGGGACUGAGGUACGGCCCAGACUCCUACGGGAGGCAGCAGUGGGGAAUUUUGCGCAAUGGGGGCAACCCUGACGCAGCAACGCCGCGUGCGGGACGAAGGCCUUCGGGUUGUAAACCGCUUUCAGCAGGGAAGACUU
Molecule: ribosomal RNA, 424 nt
Filed under: uncultured bacterium
Lineage: Bacteria
Description: bacterial SSU rRNA
Rfam family: Bacterial small subunit ribosomal RNA
Source: RNAcentral